AGUGAACGCUGGCGGUAGGCCUAACACAUGCUAGUCGAACGGCAGCACAGUAAGAGCUUGCUCUUACGGGUGGCGAGUGGCGGACGGGUGAGGAAUACAUCGGAAUCUACUUUUCCGUGGGGGAUAAGGAUGGGAAACUUACGCUAAUACCUCCAUCGCCUUAGGGUUGAACUCAGGGGAUUUUCGGACCUUGUGCGUUUGCUGCUGCCAAUGUUGGCUUCGCUUUUUGGCGGGGUAAAGGCCCACCAAGGCUACGACCCGUCGCUGGUCUGAGAGUAGGAUCAGCCAAACUGGAACGGGGACGCGGUCCUGACUCCUACGGGAAGCAGAAUGGUUGAAUGUGUGACAAUGGGCGCGAGCCUGAUGCAGCCAUACCGCGUGCGUGAAGAAGGCAUUAGGGUUGUAAAGCCAUUUUGUUGGUAAAGAAAAGCAGCAGGUUAAUACACCGCUGUUAUGACGGUAAACAAAGAAUAAGCACCGGCUAACUUCGUG
This 492-nucleotide ribosomal RNA is filed under the name uncultured bacterium. RNAcentral's name for it is "partial 16S ribosomal RNA". It matches the Rfam family "Bacterial small subunit ribosomal RNA", at positions 29 to 507 of the family's 1533-position model. The record is from RNAcentral.